Long non-coding RNA from Apodemus sylvaticus (European woodmouse), 198 nucleotides. RefSeq lists it as uncharacterized. The transcript is spliced from 3 exons. NCBI's taxonomy places the organism in Eukaryota, Metazoa, Chordata, Mammalia, Rodentia, Muridae. The record is from RefSeq and is a predicted model, not a curated record.
GGUGUCAUCAGGGAACUUUCCAGACAUGGGAUUCAAGGGAAGAGAAGACUUAAUGGAUACCUUCUCUUUGGAGAAAGUAAUCCCCUACACUGAAGCAUCGAGCAUUCCCAGGACUUCUCCUCACUUCAAUGUCCAACAAGGCCAUCCUCUUCUUCCUAUGCAUCUGGAGCCAAGGGUCAAGGCCAUGUAUGAAAAUUC